GGAAAUAGACAGUACACGGAUCUGGAAUGGAAGCAAAUAAUAACCGGGUCUCCAGAUUCCAUCGUAUCACAGAACAUAGAACCAAGAAAGUACCUUAGAAGUCAUCUGAUCCAGUCACCCCUGUUUUACCAAUGAGGAAUCUAGACCCAGAAGAAGUUAAAGGACUUACCCAAGAGUACCCAACAACUCUCUCACCACCCCAGGCUCCCAUCUUUGUGUCUCUCCUGUGUGAGCUGUUCCCUGAAGUUCUUCCUGAACUUGCACAUUGCCUUUCCCUUUGAUUUUAAAUCCUUGGCUCAAAUGACAUGCCCGGACUAUAUCGUGUGAUAUGAGCUUGAAAAGUAAUUUACGUACAAGUCUUGAAAGCAAAUCAAGUUUUAAAACAAAGUAGCAUCUACUCUGCCCCAGCCUUGACAUCUUAUUACAUAGCAAAUGCUGGCUUUUUAAUUUCCCUAAUCAAGACUGGUCCUAUUUAGCCCACCUCCUCAAGGGGUCCCAGCACUAGCCCCACUCCGACGCCUGAUGAAGUUCCAGAACAGUGGAAUCAAGCACAGAGAUGGGCACGCCUCUUUACAGAACCAAAGAUUCAGAACUGUGCCUUACCCUUUGCUUAUGAGGCGGAGGAGGAGGAAGAGAAAGAACCACCGCAAAGAGAGAUGGCAACAAAGGACAAAAUGCUUGGAGGAGCAACAGACACCCUGAGACCAUGAAGACAGGACGAAGUCACACACUAAGAUCUGAGGCCCAGGGUCACCACAAACCCGGGAGACAUGAGGCCAGGCCUGAGAGGCACAGGCAGGCUGAGGAAUGGACAGAAGAGCAACAGAGAAGCCUGGAGGAUGAAAGCCAACUCUGCAAAGAGCUUCCAAGAGUCUUCCUGCCACAGAAAUUCCACUUGGCCACAGAAAUGGCCCUGGCCCUGGGCCAGGAGAGAGGUGGCGACGAGCUGCUCAUGGCAAUGACUUUCAGUCAGCAUGUCUUACCUGUGCUUCCAAGGGUGGAGAUGCCACUUUGAACUCGCCCUCCCCCACUUGCCAUUUCCCAAGCUCAUCCCGGGGAGACCAGACUCAAUGGCCCACUGGUGAUCUUGUUUUACAUGAGACAUUUCCAAAAAAGACCAAAAAAUCCUUUCCAGGAAAAUGCCAUUUUUAAAAUUCAGCUCCAGACACUGCGGCAACAUUAGGAAAACAAAGGACUUGGCAGAAAGGUUUUCUGCGUGGGGACUUUCUCUCGAAAAUACCUUCUCCAAAUUGCCUCCAGUGGGGAUGACUCCAAGGGUCAGUUCUGGAGCACCCAGGCAAUUGCAGACAGAGUGACUUCGGGUUUGUACACUGUCCCAGGUCUUUCCUUACCUGAUAUCACCCUGGGAUCUUCCAGGCUUAAACAAGGAGCCCCUUCCAAGGGUCCCCAAAGGAAGCAGCUGUCUCUGAGGGUCAAGAAAUAAUGCUGCUUCCUUCCUCCAGAGGGGACUCCUCAACCCCUCUCUUGCCACCAUCACUAAGCCAGGGGCCCAGGUUAGGAGGUGGAGGGACAUAGUGUGCUUAGUAGAGAGCUUGUCUUCUCUUAUCAUCCAAGUGAGAGGAAUACACAGCUUCCCCUGGGGCAUACAUAGUGGUGUUCCCCUUUUUUGCAUGUAUCAGGUAUAAUUAAUCAGGUUGACAUCACAUAUGUAAUAAUAAUGGCCAUUAUUUAUUAAACACUUCCAAUGUGUCCAC
RNAcentral lists this long non-coding RNA (1715 nucleotides) under Homo sapiens (human). Its description in RNAcentral is "long intergenic non-protein coding RNA 1913". Lineage: Eukaryota; Metazoa; Chordata; Mammalia; Primates; Hominidae. The record is from RNAcentral.